AAUCCAUAGGUUAAUGAGGCGAACCGGGGGAACUGAAACAUCUAAGUACCCCGAGGAAAAGAAAUCAACCGAGAUUCCCCCAGUAGCGGCGAGCGAACGGGGAGGAGCCCAGAGCCUGAAUCAGCAUGUGUGUUAGUGGAAGCGUCUGGAAAGGCGCGCGAUACAGGGUGACAGCCCCGUACACAAAAGCGCAUGUGCUGUGAGCUCGAUGAGUAGGGCGGGACACGUGGUAUCCUGUCUGAAUAUGGGGGGACCAUCCUCCAAGGCUAAAUACUCCUGACUGACCGAUAGUGAACCAGUACCGUGAGGGAAAGGCGAAAAGAACCCCGGCGAGGGGAGUGAAAAAGAACCUGAAACCGUGUACGUACAAGCAGUGGGAGCACAGGUUUACCUGUGUGACUGCGUACCUUUUGUAUAAUGGGUCAGCGACUUAUAUUCUGUAGCAAGGUUAACCGUAUAGGGGAGCCGGAGGGAAACCGAGUCU
Molecule: ribosomal RNA, 484 nt
Filed under: Salmonella enterica subsp. enterica serovar Enteritidis
Lineage: Bacteria; Pseudomonadati; Pseudomonadota; Gammaproteobacteria; Enterobacterales; Enterobacteriaceae
Description: partial 23S ribosomal RNA
Rfam family: Bacterial large subunit ribosomal RNA
Source: RNAcentral